CCUACGGGAGGCAGCAGUGAGGAAUAUUGGUCAAUGGGAGAGAUCCUGAACCAGCCAAGCCGCGUGAGGAAAGACGGCCCUAUGGGUUGUAAACCUCUUUUGUCGGAGAACAAAACCCGGGACGUGUCCCGUACUGCGUGUAUCCGAAGAAAAAGCAUCGGCUAACUCCGUGCCAGCAGCCGCGGUACUACGGAGGAUGCGAGCGUUAUCCGGAUUUAUUGGGUUUAAAGGGUGCGUAGGCGGUCCGUUAAGUCAGCGGUAAAAUUGCGGGGCUCAACCCCGUCGAGCCGUUGAAACUGGCAGACUUGAGUUGGCGAGAAGUACGCGGAAUGCGCGGUGUAGCGGUGAAAUGCAUAGAUAUCGCGCAGAACUCCGAUUGCGAAGGCAGCGUACCGGCGCCAGACUGACGCUGAGGCACGAAAGCGUGGGGAUCGAACAGGAUUAGAUACCCGGGUAGUC
This 459-nucleotide ribosomal RNA is filed under the name uncultured bacterium. Its description in RNAcentral is "partial 16S ribosomal RNA". It matches the Rfam family "Bacterial small subunit ribosomal RNA", at positions 338 to 795 of the family's 1533-position model. The record is from RNAcentral.